AGUGUAUCAGUCUUUCUCUUGAGGGAUUUUGCAGCUACUGCUGUCAGUCUGUCUCUCAGUGCAGGAGUUUUUGGUGGAGGAACUAAACUGCAUGCAGGGAGUUUGGCCUCACCCACCCUCACAGUCCUGCCCCCCUCCAGUGAGGGGCUCCAGCAGGGGAAGGCCACACUUGUGUGUUUGGCCAACAAGGGCUUCCCCUCAGACUGGAGGCUGAGCUGGAAGGUGGGUGGGAGCAGCUGGACCUCAGGGGUUAGCCAGAGCCCCGGGCUUCUGCAGAAGGACGACGGCCUCUACAGCUGGAGCAGCACCCUGACCCUCCAGGAGGAGCAGUGGCUAAAGAACACAGUGACCUGUGAGGCCACCAAGGACUCCCAGCCUCCUGUCAGCCAGACACUGAGGAGAGAUCAGUGCUGAGCAGUGAGAACCACGCGGGGGUUUCAGCUGAUAGAGCUCCUCUCACUCUCAAAUGAGCUCAAACACGUCUGUGAUUAAUGCUGGAAUGAUGAUCUGAU
Colossoma macropomum (tambaqui) is the source of this 512-nucleotide non-coding RNA. The record is from the annotation of a RefSeq genome assembly. Lineage: Eukaryota; Metazoa; Chordata; Actinopteri; Characiformes; Serrasalmidae.